CGUGUAGGCGGUUGGGGUAGUCAUAUGUGAAAUCCUUCUGCUCAACGGAAGAAGUGCAUGUGAAACCACCUGACUUGAGUACGAGAGGGGAAAGUGGAAUUCCCAGUGUAGAGGUGAAAUUCGUAGAUAUUGGGAGGAACACCCGUAGCGAAGGCGACUUUCUGGAUCGAUACUGACGCUGAGACGCGAAAGCGUGGGUAGCAAACAGGAUUAGAUACCCUGGUAGUCC
Molecule: ribosomal RNA, 229 nt
Filed under: uncultured bacterium
Lineage: Bacteria
Description: partial 16S ribosomal RNA
Rfam family: Bacterial small subunit ribosomal RNA
Source: RNAcentral